CGGUGGAGCAUGUGGUUUAAUUCGAAGCAACGCGAAGAACCUUACCAGGGCUUGACAUGCCGCUGACCGGUGCAGAGAUGCAUCUUUAUCCUUCGGGGUACAGCGGACACAGGUGGUGCAUGGUUGUCGUCAGCUCGUGUCGUGAGAUGUUGGGUUAAGUCCCGCAACGAGCGCAACCCUUGUCUUUAGUUGCCAUCAUUAAGUUGGGCACUCUAAAGAGACUGCCGAUGACAAAUCGGAGGAAGGUGGGGAUGACGUCAAAUCAUCAUGCCCUUUAUGUCCUGGGCUACACACGUGCUACAAUGGUCGGUACAACGAGAAGCAAGUCAGCGAUGGCAAGCAAAUCUCUAAAAGCCGAUCCCAGUUCGGAUUGCAGGCUGCAACUCGCCUGCAUGAAGUCGGAGUUGCUAGUAAUCGCGGAUCAGAAUGCCGCGGUGAAUGCGUUCCCGGGUCUU
This 455-nucleotide ribosomal RNA is filed under the name uncultured Eubacteriales bacterium. RNAcentral describes it as "bacterial SSU rRNA". It matches the Rfam family "Bacterial small subunit ribosomal RNA", at positions 930 to 1382 of the family's 1533-position model. Lineage: Bacteria; Bacillati; Bacillota; Clostridia; Eubacteriales. The record is from RNAcentral.